GACCCUGUUGAGCUUGACUCUAGUUUGACAUUGUGAAAAGACAUAGGAGGUGUAGAAUAGGUGGGAGCUUACGCGCCAGUGAAAUACCACUACUCCUAUUGUUUUUUUACUAAUUCGGUGAAGCGGGGCUGGGCUCUGUCCAAGUUCUGGUGUCAAGGUCCUUCGUGGGCCGACCCGGGCCGGAGACAUUGUCAGGUGGGGAGUUUGGCUGGGG
RNAcentral lists this ribosomal RNA (214 nucleotides) under Synchroma pusillum. RNAcentral describes it as "partial Eukaryotic large subunit ribosomal RNA". It matches the Rfam family "Eukaryotic large subunit ribosomal RNA", at positions 2409 to 2630 of the family's 3401-position model. Lineage: Eukaryota; Synchromophyceae; Synchromales; Synchromaceae. The record is from RNAcentral.